UUAAGCGACUAAGCGUACACGGUGGAUGCCCUGGCAGUCAGAGGCGAUGAAGGACGUGCUAAUCUGCGAAAAGCGUCGGUAAGGUGAUAUGAACCGUUACAGCCGGCGAUGUCCGAAUGGGGAAACCCAGUGCAAUUCGUUGCACUAUCGUUAACUGAAUACAUAGGUUAACGAGGCGAACCGGGGGAACUGAAACAUCUAAGUACCCCGAGGAAAAGAAAUCAACCGAGAUUCCCCCAGUAGCGGCGAGCGAACGGGGAGCAGCCCAGAGUCUGAAUCAGCUUGUGUGUUAGUGGAACGGUCUGGAAAGUCCGACGGUACAGGGUGAUAGUCCCGUACACCAAAAUGCACAGGCUGUGAACUCGAAGAGUAGGGCGGGACACGUGGUAUCCUGUCUGAAUAUGGGGGGACCAUCCUCCAAGGCUAAAUACUCCUGACUGACCGAUAGUGAACCAGUACCGUGAGGGAAAGGCGAAAAGAACCCCGGCGAGGGGAGUGAAAAAGAACCUGAAACCGUGUACGUACAAGCAGUGGGAGCACCUUCGGGUGUGACUGCGUACCUUUUGUAUAAUGGGUCAGCGACUUAUAUUCUGUAGCAAGGUUAACCGUAUAGGGGAGCCGCAGGGAAACCGAGUCUUAACUGGGCGUUAAGUUGCAGGGUAUAGACCCGAAACCCGGUGAUCUAGCCAUGGGCAGGUUGAAGGUUGGGUAACACUAACUGGAGGACCGAACCGACUAAUGUUGAAAAAUUAGCGGAUGACUUGUGGCUGGGGGUGAAAGGCCAAUCAAACCGGGAGAUAGCUGGUUCUCCCCGAAAGCUAUUUAGGUAGCGCCUCGUGAACUCAUCUUCGGGGGUAGAGCACUGUUUCGGCUAGGGGGUCAUCCCGACUUACCAACCCGAUGCAAACUACGAAUACCGAAGAAUGUUAUCACGGGAGACACACGGCGGGUGCUAACGUCCGUCGUGAAGAGGGAAACAACCCAGACCGCCAGCUAAGGUCCCAAAGUCAUGGUUAAGUGGGAAACGAUGUGGGAAGGCACAGACAGCCAGGAUGUUGGCUUAGAAGCAGCCAUCAUUUAAAGAAAGCGUAAUAGCUCACUGGUCGAGUCGGCCUGCGCGGAAGAUGUAACGGGGCUAAACCAUGCACCGAAGCUGCGGCAGCGACACUAUGUGUUGUUGGGUAGGGGAGCGUUCUGUAAGCCUGCGAAGGUGACCUGUGAGGGUUGCUGGAGGUAUCAGAAGUGCGAAUGCUGACAUAAGUAACGAUAAAGCGGGUGAAAAGCCCGCUCGCCGGAAGACCAAGGGUUCCUGUCCAACGUUAAUCGGGGCAGGGUGAGUCGACCCCUAAGGCGAGGCCGAAAGGCGUAGUCGAUGGGAAACAGGUUAAUAUUCCUGUACUUGGUGUUACUGCGAAGGGGGGACGGAGAAGGCUAUGUUAGCCGGGCGACGGUUGUCCCGGUUUAAGCAUGUAGGCUGGUUGUCCAGGCAAAUCCGGAUAAUCAAGGCUGAGGUGUGAUGACGAGGCACUACGGUGCUGAAGUAACAAAUGCCCUGCUUCCAGGAAAAGCCUCUAAGCAUCAGGUAACAUUAAAUCGUACCCCAAACCGACACAGGUGGUCAGGUAGAGAAUACCAAGGCGCUUGAGAGAACUCGGGUGAAGGAACUAGGCAAAAUGGUGCCGUAACUUCGGGAGAAGGCACGCUGGUGUGUAGGUGAAGUCCCUGCGGAUGGAGCUGAGACCAGUCGAAGAUACCAGCUGGCUGCAACUGUUUAUUAAAAACACAGCACUGUGCAAACACGAAAGUGGACGUAUACGGUGUGACGCCUGCCCGGUGCCGGAAGGUUAAUUGAUGGGGUUAUCCGUAAGGAGAAGCUCUUGAUCGAAGCCCCGGUAAACGGCGGCCGUAACUAUAACGGUCCUAAGGUAGCGAAAUUCCUUGUCGGGUAAGUUCCGACCUGCACGAAUGGCGUAAUGAUGGCCAGGCUGUCUCCACCCGAGACUCAGUGAAAUUGAACUCGCUGUGAAGAUGCAGUGUACCCGCGGCAAGACGGAAAGACCCCGUGAACCUUUACUAUAGCUUGACACUGAACAUUGAGCCUUGAUGUGUAGGAUAGGUGGGAGGCUUUGAAGCGUGGACGCCAGUCUGCGUGGAGCCAACCUUGAAAUACCACCCUUUAAUGUUUGAUGUUCUAACGUUGGCCCCUUACCGGGGUUGCGGACAGUGUCUGGUGGGUAGUUUGACUGGGGCGGUCUCCUCCCAAAGCGUAACGGAGGAGCACGAAGGUUAGCUAAUCCUGGUCGGACAUCAGGAGGUUAGUGCAAUGGCAUAAGCUAGCUUGACUGCGAGCGUGACGGCGCGAGCAGGUGCGAAAGCAGGUCAUAGUGAUCCGGUGGUUCUGAAUGGAAGGGCCAUCGCUCAACGGAUAAAAGGUACUCCGGGGAUAACAGGCUGAUACCGCCCAAGAGUUCAUAUCGACGGCGGUGUUUGGCACCUCGAUGUCGGCUCAUCACAUCCUGGGGCUGAAGUAGGUCCCAAGGGUAUGGCUGUUCGCCAUUUAAAGUGGUACGCGAGCUGGGUUUAGAACGUCGUGAGACAGUUCGGUCCCUAUCUGCCGUGGGCGCUGGAGAAUUGAGGGGGGCUGCUCCUAGUACGAGAGGACCGGAGUGGACGCAUCACUGGUGUUCGGGUUGUCAUGCCAAUGGCACUGCCCGGUAGCUAAAUGCGGAAGAGAUAAGUGCUGAAAGCAUCUAAGCACGAAACUUGCCCCGAGAUGAGUUCUCCCUGAGACUUUAAGUCUCCUGAAGGAACGUUAAAGACGAUGACGUUGAUAGGCCGGGUGUGUAAGCGCAGCGAUGCGUUGAGCUAACCGGUACUAAUGAACCGUGAGGCUUAACCUU
RNAcentral lists this ribosomal RNA (2900 nucleotides) under Klebsiella pneumoniae. RNAcentral's name for it is "bacterial LSU rRNA". It matches the Rfam family "Bacterial large subunit ribosomal RNA". RNAcentral also lists the same sequence under 3 other names. Lineage: Bacteria; Pseudomonadati; Pseudomonadota; Gammaproteobacteria; Enterobacterales; Enterobacteriaceae. The record is from RNAcentral.